CCUACGGGAGGCAGCAGUGAGGAAUAUUUGUCAAUGGACGAGAGUCUGAACCAGCCAAGUAGCGUGAAGGAUGACUGCCCUAUGGGUUGUAAACUUCUUUUUUAAAGGAAUAAAACGAGGUACGUGUGCCUUUUUGCAUGUACUUUAUGAUUAAGGAUCGGCUAACUCGGUGCCAGCAGCCGCGGUAAUACGGAGUAUCCGAGCGUUAUCCGGUUUUAUUGGGUUUAAAGGGGGCGUAGAUGGGUUAUUAAGACAGUUGUGAAAGUUUGCGGCUCAACCGUAAGAUUGCAAUUGAAACUGGCAGUCUUGAGUACAGUAGGGGUAGGCGGAAUUCGUGGUGUAGCAGUGAAAUGCGUAGAUAUCACGAAGAACCCCGAUUGCGAAGGCAGCUUACUAGACUGUGACUGACAUUGAUGCACGAAAGUGUAGGUAUCAAACAGGAUUAGAUACCCGAGUAGUC
This 460-nucleotide ribosomal RNA is filed under the name uncultured bacterium. RNAcentral's name for it is "partial 16S ribosomal RNA". It matches the Rfam family "Bacterial small subunit ribosomal RNA", at positions 338 to 795 of the family's 1533-position model. The record is from RNAcentral.